UCACGUGCUGGCAGGGCCGGGGAAAUGGUGGCUUCAGGAGAGAGAGGGACUUAGGGCGGCAGAGGCAGCACAGAGGAGGCAUUUAUGACCUUCUACAGUGAGGUGAAACAAAUAGAAAAGAGAGAUUCAGUUCUAACUUCAAAAAAUCAAAUUGAAAGAUUGACCUGUCCUAGUUCCUCUUACUUCAAUUUGAACCCAUUUGAGGUUCUUAAGACGGAUCCAGAAGUUACAGAUGAAGAAAUAAAAAAGAGGUUCUGGCAGUUAUCCAUAUUGGUGCUUCCUGACAAAAACCAAGAUGAUGCUGACAGAGCACAAAAAGCUUUUGAAGCUGUGGACAAAGCUUAUGAGUUGCUACUGGAUAAGGAACAAAAGAAGAGGGCCCUGGAUAUAAUUGAUGCAGGAAAAGAAUACAUGGAACACACUGUGAAAGAGCGGAAAAAACAGUUAAAGGAGGAAGGAAAAUCUACAGUUGUAGAGGAGGAUGAUCCUGAGUUGUUUAAACAAGCAGUAUAUAAACAGACCAUGAAACUCUUUGCUGAGCUAGAAACUAAAAGGAAAGAGAGAGAAGCCAAAGAGAUGCAUGAAAGGAAGCGGCAAAGGAAAGAAGAGAUCGAAGCUCAAGAAAAAGCCAAACGAGAAAGAGAGUGGCAGAAAACUUUGAGAAAAGUCGAGAUGGUCGUGUAGAUAGCUGGCAAAAUUUCCAAGCAAAUACGAAGGGGAAGAAAGAGAAGAAAAAUCGGACUUUCCUGAGACCACCGAAAGUAAAAAUGGAGCAGUGUGAGUGACCUCCUGGGGUCACAGUCGCAGGACCUCCUCCAGCUGUCUCCCUGCUUUGAAGGACUCAUUCUUUCUUCCCAUUUCCACCCCAACAUAGAGUACUAUUUGCUUUUUGGCUCAUUUUGUUUUCAAUACAAUUUAAUACUGAUCAGAGUAAUUCUUUUGUACAUUGAAAUGAGGGGCUUGGUUUAAAAAAAGACCUUCCCCCUCUGCCCCUAGAACAACCAGGAUUGGAAGGUACCACUUUGGUGCUGCAUUCUCUUCCCACAGCCUGUAACUUAAUGUUUUGUAUUUCACUGAAUUGUGAUGGUUAGAAACUUCCUGUAUAGUUUGUGGAAAUCAUCCAAUUAAACAUACUGCUUA
RNA transcript from Carlito syrichta (Philippine tarsier), 1140 nucleotides. It is a transcript of the gene named dnaJ homolog subfamily C member 8 pseudogene, with no coding region annotated. The transcript has a single exon. The record is from RefSeq and is a predicted model, not a curated record. NCBI's taxonomy places the organism in Eukaryota, Metazoa, Chordata, Mammalia, Primates, Tarsiidae.